Molecule: small RNA, 26 nt
Filed under: Bombyx mori (domestic silkworm)
Lineage: Eukaryota; Metazoa; Arthropoda; Insecta; Lepidoptera; Bombycidae
Description: ovarian small RNA-24280
Source: RNAcentral
UAUUGUCAAAAGAGGUUUGGAGGUAA